UCGGGAAUUUUGGGCAAUGGGGGAAACCCUGACCCAGCAACGCCGCGUGAAGGAUGAAGUAUUUCGGUAUGUAAACUUCGAAAGAAUAGGAAGAAUAAAUGACGGUACUAUUUAUAAGGUCCGGCUAACUACGUGCCAGCAGCCGCGGUAAUACGUAGGGACCAAGCGUUGUUCGGAUUUACUGGGCGUAAAGGGCGCGUAGGCGGCGUGACAAGUCACUUGUGAAAUCUCCGGGCUUAACUCGGAACUGCCAAGUGAUACUGUCGUGCUAGAGUGCAGAAGGGGCAAUCGGAAUUCUUGGUGUAGCGGUGAAAUGCGUAGAUAUCAAGAGGAACACCUGAGGUGAAGACGGGUUGCUGGGCUGACACUGACGCUGAGGCGCGAAAGCUAGGGGAGCAAACGGGAUUAGAUACCCAAGUAGUCCCUGAGCGGGCUGGCAAGGCGCAU
Molecule: ribosomal RNA, 447 nt
Filed under: uncultured bacterium
Lineage: Bacteria
Description: bacterial SSU rRNA
Rfam family: Bacterial small subunit ribosomal RNA
Source: RNAcentral